AUGAACGCUGGCGGCGUGCCUCAUCCAUGCAAGUCGCUCGAACAGACGAGGAGCUUGCUCCUCUGACGUUAGCGGCGGACGGGUGAGUAACACGUGGAUAACCUACCUAUAAGACUGGGAUAACUUCGGGAAACCGGAGCUAAUACCGGAUAAUAUAUUGAACCGCAUGGUUCAAUAGUGAAAGACGGUUUUGCUGUCACUUAUAGAUGGAUCCGCGCCGCAUUAGCUAGUUGGUAAGGUAACGGCUUACCAAGGCAACGAUGCGUAGCCGACCUGAGAGGGUGAUCGGCCACACUGGAACUGAGACACGGUCCAGACUCCUACGGGAGGCAGCAGUAGGGAAUCUUCCGCAAUGGGCGAAAGCCUGACGGAGCAACGCCGCGUGAGUGAUGAAGGUCUUCGGAUCGUAAAACUCUGUUAUUAGGGAAGAACAAAUGUGUAAGUAACUAUGCACGUCUUGACGGUACCUAAUCAGAAAGCCACGGCUAACUACGUG
Molecule: ribosomal RNA, 496 nt
Filed under: uncultured bacterium
Lineage: Bacteria
Description: partial 16S ribosomal RNA
Rfam family: Bacterial small subunit ribosomal RNA
Source: RNAcentral